This 548-nucleotide long non-coding RNA is filed under the name Physcomitrium patens. RNAcentral's name for it is "long non-coding RNA (PPAT_LNC009586)". Lineage: Eukaryota; Viridiplantae; Streptophyta; Bryopsida; Funariales; Funariaceae. The record is from RNAcentral.
UAUAAUAUUAAAAGGCAAAGUGACAGAUUAGAAAGUUUGUCUAGUCUCGACAGAUUUAAUAAACUUUAUAAAUGGUGUUGCAAAAAAUGUUUUGUUUUAGUUUAGCAAACUAAACAUUCCUUAAACUUACAAAAACACUUUCUUAUCUUACUGUUCUUAUAUUCAUACAUGUGUGAUCAAUAUAUUGUUUGAUUCAAGACAGACAUACUUUAUUCUCAGUUGGAAUAAAACAAAAUAUUUCAGUUAAUAUUUUCAAAAAACUCUUACAGUUUUUCUUCUUCUCUACUUCAAAGUUUUCAUUAAAUUUAAUCAACAGAUGGUAAAUUUCACUUUAAAAAAAUACUAUUUGAAGGAAGGUGGGUUUAGGUUAUUCAUGAACUGAAGUGCAUCAUUUCGUUUACAGUUCAAACUCAAUCUCAAGGAGGCCAUGGAUGUAGUAGAGUCACCCCUUUGGCAGAACGGAGCAAUGGGCUGAUGAAUGAAGAGGAAGAGGGAUGGAUGAAAUUACGGAAUGGGAAAGUCUUGCAAGGGUCCGUCUAUCCAUCCGU